AUUCCAGCUCCAAUAGUGUAUAUUAAAGUUGUUGCAGUUAAAAAGCUCGUAGUUGGAUUUCUGGCGGGAGCGAUCGGUCCUUCACUCAGUGUUGGAACCUGAUUGUCUCCUGCCAUCCAUGGAGAAAACUUAUCUGGCAUUAAGUUGUCGGGUAGGCAAUCUCCAUCUUUUACUGUGAAAAAAUUAGAGUGUUCAAAGCAGGCUUAUGCCGUUGAAUAUAUUAGCAUGGAAUAAUAAGAUAGGACUAUGGUACUAUUUUGUUGGUUUGUGCACCAUGGUAAUGAUUAAUAGGGACAGUUGGGGGUAUUCGUAUUCCAUUGUCAGAGGUGAAAUUCUUGGACCGUUUGAAGACAAACUACUGCGAAAGCAUUUGCCAAGAAUGGUUUCAUCG
This 391-nucleotide ribosomal RNA is filed under the name Rhizosolenia sp. Its description in RNAcentral is "partial small subunit ribosomal RNA". It matches the Rfam family "Eukaryotic small subunit ribosomal RNA", at positions 582 to 975 of the family's 1831-position model. The record is from RNAcentral. Lineage: Eukaryota; Bacillariophyta; Coscinodiscophyceae; Rhizosoleniales; Rhizosoleniaceae.